Molecule: ribosomal RNA, 873 nt
Filed under: Escherichia coli
Lineage: Bacteria; Pseudomonadati; Pseudomonadota; Gammaproteobacteria; Enterobacterales; Enterobacteriaceae
Description: partial 23S ribosomal RNA
Rfam family: Bacterial large subunit ribosomal RNA
Source: RNAcentral
UGAAUCAGUGUGUGUGUUAGUGGAAGCGUCUGGAAAGGCGCGCGAUACAGGGUGACAGCCCCGUACACAAAAAUGCACAUGCUGUGAGCUCGAUGAGUAGGGCGGGACACGUGGUAUCCUGUCUGAAUAUGGGGGGACCAUCCUCCAAGGCUAAAUACUCCUGACUGACCGAUAGUGAACCAGUACCGUGAGGGAAAGGCGAAAAGAACCCCGGCGAGGGGAGUGAAAAAGAACCUGAAACCGUGUACGUACAAGCAGUGGGAGCCUCUUUAUGGGGUGACUGCGUACCUUUUGUAUAAUGGGUCAGCGACUUAUAUUCUGUAGCAAGGUUAACCGAAUAGGGGAGCCGAAGGGAAACCGAGUCUUAACUGGGCGUUAAGUUGCAGGGUAUAGACCCGAAACCCGGUGAUCUAGCCAUGGGCAGGUUGAAGGUUGGGUAACACUAACUGGAGGACCGAACCGACUAAUGUUGAAAAAUUAGCGGAUGACUUGUGGCUGGGGGUGAAAGGCCAAUCAAACCGGGAGAUAGCUGGUUCUCCCCGAAAGCUAUUUAGGUAGCGCCUCGUGAAUUCAUCUCCGGGGGUAGAGCACUGUUUCGGCAAGGGGGUCAUCCCGACUUACCAACCCGAUGCAAACUGCGAAUACCGGAGAAUGUUAUCACGGGAGACACACGGCGGGUGCUAACGUCCGUCGUGAAGAGGGAAACAACCCAGACCGCCAGCUAAGGUCCCAAAGUCAUGGUUAAGUGGGAAACGAUGUGGGAAGGCCCAGACAGCCAGGAUGUUGGCUUAGAAGCAGCCAUCAUUUAAAGAAAGCGUAAUAGCUCACUGGUCGAGUCGGCCUGCGCGGAAGAUGUAACGGGGCUAAACCAUG